ACGGCUCAGUAACACGUCGAUAAUCUGCCCUUAGGUUCAGGAUAAGGACGGGAAACUGUCUCUAAUACUGGAUAUGGAAUUUGUGCUGGAAAGCUAUUUUCCUGAAACGUAAGGCCUAAGGAUGAGUCGGCGGCUGAUUAGUUUGUUGGUGAGGUAAUGGCUCACCAAGACUAAGAUCAGUAGGGGAGAUGAGAGUCUAAGCCUCGAGAAGAGAACUGAGAUACUGUCUCUAGCCCUAAGGGGUGCAGCAGUUACGAAAACUUUACAAUGCACGAAAGUGUGAUAAGGGGAUUCCUAGUGCUCAUACUUUGUAUGGGCUUUUGUCGAGUGUAAAAAGCUCGGCGAAUAAGUGAUGGGUAAGACCGGUGCCAGCCGCCGCGGUAACACCGGCGUCACGAGUGGCAAUCAUGAUUAUUGGGCCUAAAGCGUCCGUAGCCGGUCUGAUAAAUUUCUUGUGAAAUUGUUUGGCUCAACCAAACAGCGUGCAAGAAAGACUGUCAGACUUGAAACCGGGAGGAGCUAGAGGUAUUCCAGGGGGAGCGGUAGAAUGCUAUAAUCCCUGGAGGACCACCUAUGGCGAAGGCUUCUAGCUAGAACGGAUUUGACGGUGAGGGACGAAAGCCAGGGGAGCGAUCCGGAUUAGAUACCCGAGUAGUCCUGGCUGUAAACGCUGCGAGCUAGGUGGUGCAUGUUCUUAGUGGACAUGCGGCGCCUGAGUGAAGACGUUAAGCUCGCCGCCUGGGAAGUAUGGCCGCAAGACUGAAACUUAAAGGAAUUGGCGGGGGAG
This 787-nucleotide ribosomal RNA is filed under the name uncultured archaeon. RNAcentral's name for it is "bacterial SSU rRNA". It matches the Rfam family "Archaeal small subunit ribosomal RNA", at positions 85 to 876 of the family's 1478-position model. The record is from RNAcentral.